AAAGCUACCUGUCUCUAUAUGAAAAAAGGAGAAAAAAUGGACAGAGUGAAGCUCCAAAAAUCGGGUUGUUAGAUAGGGGAAGUGUUUAUCCACUCUCCUCUUGUCAAAAAAGAAACCGUGAGGAAAAAGCUACCUGUCAAUAUAUGAAAAAGAAUGAGGAAAAAGGGGACAGAGUGAAGCUCCAAAAAUCGAUUUGUUAGACAGGGGAAAUGCUUAUCCACUCUCUUCUUGUCAGAAAAAAAAGUCGUGAGGAAAAAGCUACCUGUCCUCAAAUUAUUUAGAAAGG
This 286-nucleotide long non-coding RNA is filed under the name Spirodela polyrhiza (greater duckweed). RNAcentral's name for it is "long non-coding RNA (SPOL_LNC000076)". The record is from RNAcentral. Lineage: Eukaryota; Viridiplantae; Streptophyta; Magnoliopsida; Alismatales; Araceae.